Molecule: ribosomal RNA, 468 nt
Filed under: uncultured bacterium
Lineage: Bacteria
Description: partial 16S ribosomal RNA
Rfam family: Bacterial small subunit ribosomal RNA
Source: RNAcentral
GACGAACGCUGGCGGCGUGCUUAACACAUGCAAGUCGAACGGAAAGGCCCUGGUUUUGUGGGGUGCUCGAGUGGCGAACGGAUGAGUAACACGUGAGUAACCUGCCCUUGACUAUGGGAUAACUUUAGGAAACUGGGGCUAAUACCGGAUAGGAGCUCCUGCUGCUUGGUGGGGGUUGUAGAGUUUCGGCGGUUGGGGAUGGUCUCGUGGCAUAUCGACUUGUGGGUGGGGUAGUGGCUUACAAAGGCUUUAACGGGUCGCCGGCCUGAGGGGGUGACCGGCCAAAUGGGGCUGGGGAUACGGCCCGGACUCCAACGGGAGGCAGGAGUGGGGAAUAUUGCACAAUGGGCGGAGGCCGAAUGCAGCAACGCCGCGUGCGGGAUGACGGCCUUGGGUUUGUAAACCGCUUUCGCCUGUGACGAAGCGUGAGUGACGGUAACGGGUAAAGAAGCACCGGCUAACUACGUG